AAAGUCGUAACAAGGUUUCCGUAGGUGAACCUGCGGAAGGAUCAUUAUUGAUAAAACUUUUUUUUAAGUUUCUUCAUAUUCCCUGUUUAUAUUAAAUACGUUCCUUCCAUCGGACAGGUCUUCAGGACCCUUCAGCUUGGGCAAAUGCACUUGCUGGGGAGCUGCCGGUGGCAUUUCUAACCGAAAAAGAAAACUUGUCAUCAUACACUGUCUGAUUUACUUUUGAAACUAAAUAAAACUUUCAACAACGGAUCUCUAGGCUCUU
This 265-nucleotide unclassified non-coding RNA is filed under the name Ascomycota sp. RNAcentral describes it as "partial contains small subunit ribosomal RNA, internal transcribed spacer 1, and 5.8S ribosomal RNA". The stretch from base 1 to 47 matches the Rfam family "Eukaryotic small subunit ribosomal RNA", at positions 1785 to 1831 of the family's 1831-position model. Lineage: Eukaryota; Fungi; Ascomycota. The record is from RNAcentral.